This 398-nucleotide ribosomal RNA is filed under the name uncultured bacterium. RNAcentral's name for it is "bacterial SSU rRNA". It matches the Rfam family "Bacterial small subunit ribosomal RNA", at positions 30 to 432 of the family's 1533-position model. The record is from RNAcentral.
AUUAAACGCUGGCGGCAUGCCUUACACAUGCAAGUCGAACGGCAGCACGGGGCAACCUGGUGGCGAGUGGCGAACGGGUGAGUAAUGCAUCGGAACGUGCCAUUGGGUGGGGGAUAACGUAGCGAAAGUUGCGCUAAUACCGCAUAUUCUGUGAGCAGGAAAGCAGGGGACCGCAAGGCCUUGCGCUCUUUGAGCGGCCGAUGUCAGAUUAGCUAGUUGGUGAGGUAACGGCUUACCAAGGCGACGAUCUGUAGCGGGUCUGAGAGGAUGAUCCGCCACACUGGAACUGAGACACGGUCCAGACUCCUACGGGAGGCAGCAGUGGGGAAUUUUGGACAAUGGGCGCAAGCCUGAUCCAGCCAUGCCGCGUGAGUGAAGAAGGCCUCGGUUGUUAAAGG